GUGACCCCAGUUCAGGCGAGGCUACCCGCUA
Molecule: ribosomal RNA, 31 nt
Filed under: Gnetum nodiflorum
Lineage: Eukaryota; Viridiplantae; Streptophyta; Gnetopsida; Gnetales; Gnetaceae
Description: partial 26S ribosomal RNA
Source: RNAcentral